AAGCACAAAGGUUUGGUCCUGGCCCUACUGUUAAUUAUUAUUAUUAUUAGACCCACACAUGCAAGUUUCCGCAACCCAGUGAGUAUGCCCUUUUAACUUCCCUAGAGUAUAAAGGAGCUGGUAUCAGGCACACUUACACAAGCAGCCCAUGACACCUUGUUUAACCACACCCCCACGGGUUACAGCAGUGACUAACAUUGAGCUAUAAACGAAAAUUUGACUAAAUCAUAAUAAAUAAGGGUUGGUAAAUCUCGUGCCAGCCACCGCAGUCAUACGAUUAACCCGAAUUAACAGAAAAACGGCGUAAAGGGUGUUUAAGCAUAAAACCUAACAAAUAAAGUUAAAACUCAACUACGCUGUAAUACGCUCUAGUUGAUAUUAAAAUAUACAACUUAUGUGACUUUACCAAUGCUGAAGACACUAAAGCUAAGGUACAAACUGGGAUUAGAGACCCCACUAUGCUUAGCCGUAAACCUAGGUAAUUAAAUAACAAAAUUACUCGCCAGAGAACUACUAGCCACUGCUUAAAACUCAAAGGACUUGGCGGUGCCCUAGACCCUCCUAGAGGAGCCUGUUCUAUAAUCGAUAAACCCCGAUACACCUCACCCCUUCUCGCUUAGCAGUCUAUAUACCGCCAUCGUCAGCUCACCCCAAUAGGGUCCCAAAGUGAGCAAAAUCAUGAAACCAUAAAAACGUUAGGUCAAGGUGUAGCAUAUGAAGGGGGAAGCAAUGGGCUACAUUUUCUAUAUUAGAACAUAACGGAUUGUCUACUGAAAUAAAGACAUGAAGGAGGAUUUAGUAGUAAAUUAAGAAUAGAGAGCUUAAUUGAAAUAGGCAAUAGGGUGGGUACACACCGCCCGUCACCCUCCUCGAUAAAGUAACCUUCAAUACCUAAUUAGAAUACCUCAAAAAGAGGAGAAAAGUCUUAACAUGGUAAGUGUACUGGAAAGUGCACUUGGACAAUCAAAAUG
Non-coding RNA from Sarcophilus harrisii (Tasmanian devil), 971 nucleotides. The record is from Rfam. Lineage: Eukaryota; Metazoa; Chordata; Mammalia; Dasyuromorphia; Dasyuridae.